Molecule: ribosomal RNA, 500 nt
Filed under: Lyreidus brevifrons
Lineage: Eukaryota; Metazoa; Arthropoda; Malacostraca; Decapoda; Lyreididae
Description: partial large subunit ribosomal RNA
Rfam family: Bacterial large subunit ribosomal RNA
Source: RNAcentral
GUCUGUUUGCAGAUAUAAAGAGUCUAACCUGCCCGCUGAUUGAAUAUUGAAGGGCCGCGGUAUUCUGACCGUGCAAAGGUAGCAUAAUCAUUAGUCUUUUAAUUGGAGGCUUGUAUGAAUGGUUGGACAAGGGAAUUUCUGUCUCUAUAAUAAUUUUAAAAUUUGACUUUUAAGUGAAAAGGCUUAAAUGAUUUAGGGGGACGAUAAGACCCUAUAAAGCUUUACAUUUAAUUAAUUUAAAUUGAAUUAUAAGUAAAAUGAUAUAAAUUAAUAUUAUGUUGUGUUGGGGCGACAAGAGUAUAAAUAAAUUUAACUGCUUUUUGGUAAUACAUUUAUAUAUGUUUAUGGUGGGUUAAUGAUCCUCUUUAGGGAUUUAAAGAUUAAGUUACUUUAGGGAUAACAGCGUUAUUUUCUUUGAGAGUUCUUAUCGAAAAGAGAGUUUGCGACCUCGAUGUUGAAUUAAAAUUUCUAUAUAGUGCAGCAGCUGUAAUAGAAGGUCU